CAGAGGGUAGUUUAAUUUAGAAUUCUAGCUUUGGGAGCUAGUGGUGGGAGUUAAAAUCUCUUCUUUCUG
RNAcentral lists this transfer RNA (69 nucleotides) under Gadus chalcogrammus (walleye pollock). RNAcentral's name for it is "transfer RNA-Pro". It matches the Rfam family "tRNA". Rfam says of the family: Transfer RNA (tRNA) molecules are approximately 80 nucleotides in length. Their secondary structure includes four short double-helical elements and three loops (D, anti-codon, and T loops). Lineage: Eukaryota; Metazoa; Chordata; Actinopteri; Gadiformes; Gadidae. The record is from RNAcentral.